Molecule: ribosomal RNA, 743 nt
Filed under: uncultured Arcobacter sp.
Lineage: Bacteria; Pseudomonadati; Campylobacterota; Epsilonproteobacteria; Campylobacterales; Arcobacteraceae
Description: bacterial SSU rRNA
Rfam family: Bacterial small subunit ribosomal RNA
Source: RNAcentral
GUAAGUCAGAAGUGAAAUCCAAUAGCUCAACUAUUGAACUGCUUUUGAAACUGCUUAUCUAGAAUAUGGGAGUGGUAGAUGGAAUUUCUGGUGUAGGGGUAAAAUCCGUAGAGAUCAGAAGGAAUACCGAUUGCGAAGGCGAUCUACUGGAACAUUAUUGACGCUGAGACGCGAAAGCGUGGGGAGCAAACAGGAUUAGAUACCCUGGUAGUCCACGCCCUAAGCGAUGUACACUAGUUGUUGUGAGGCUCGACCUUGCAGUAAUGCAGUUAACACAUUAAGUGUACCGCCUGGGGAGUACGGUCGCAAGAUUAAAACUCAAAGGAAUAGACGGGGACCCGCACAAGCGGUGGAGCAUGUGGUUUAAUUCGACGAUACACGAAGAACCUUACCUGGACUUGACAUAGUAAGAACUUUCUAGAGAUAGAUUGGUGUCUGCUUGCAGAAACUUAUAUACAGGUGCUGCACGGCUGUCGUCAGCCCGUGUCGUGAGAUGUUGGGUUAAGUCCCGCAACGAGCGCAACCCUCGUCAUUAGUUGCUAACAGUUCGGCUGAGAACUCUAAUGAGACUGCCUACGCAAGUAGGAGGAAGGUGAGGACGACGUCAAGUCAUCAUGGCCCUUACGUCCAGGGCUACGCACGUGCUACAAUGGGGUAUACAAAGAGCAGCAAUACGGUGACGUGGAGCAAAUCUCAAAAAUAUCUCCCAGUUCGGAUUGUAGUCUGCAACUCGACUACAUGAA